RNAcentral lists this ribosomal RNA (465 nucleotides) under Vreelandella stevensii. RNAcentral's name for it is "partial 16S ribosomal RNA". It matches the Rfam family "Bacterial small subunit ribosomal RNA", at positions 338 to 795 of the family's 1533-position model. Lineage: Bacteria; Pseudomonadati; Pseudomonadota; Gammaproteobacteria; Oceanospirillales; Halomonadaceae. The record is from RNAcentral.
CCUACGGGUGGCUGCAGUGGGGAAUAUUGGACAAUGGGCGAAAGCCUGAUCCAGCCAUGCCGCGUGUGUGAAGAAGGCCUUCGGGUUGUAAAGCACUUUCAGUGGGGAAGAAAGCCUUGGGGCUAAUACCCUCGGGGAAGGACAUCACCCACAGAAGAAGCACCGGCUAACUCCGUGCCAGCAGCCGCGGUAAUACGGAGGGUGCGAGCGUUAAUCGGAAUUACUGGGCGUAAAGCGCGCGUAGGCGGUGUGGUAAGCCGGUUGUGAAAGCCCCGGGCUCAACCUGGGAACGGCAUCCGGAACUGUCAGGCUAGAGUGCAGGAGAGGAAGGUAGAAUUCCCGGUGUAGCGGUGAAAUGCGUAGAGAUCGGGAGGAAUACCAGUGGCGAAGGCGGCCUUCUGGACUGACACUGACGCUGAGGUGCGAAAGCGUGGGUAGCAAACAGGAUUAGAUACCCUGGUAGUC